Molecule: long non-coding RNA, 10179 nt
Organism: Oxyura jamaicensis (ruddy duck)
Lineage: Eukaryota; Metazoa; Chordata; Aves; Anseriformes; Anatidae
Exons: 3
Source: RefSeq, a predicted model, not a curated record
GGGUCUCAAGUGCAGAGCUGACCCCAAGCCUGUGUUUGCAGCUCCUCUGGGUCGCUGGCUGUGCUGAUAUUCCCAGGGCUGAGAUGAAGAUGCAGGCUUCGCACAGAGGCUGGAAGAGGCUAUAUCCAUAUAACUGUAGAAUCACAGAAUUUUUUGGGUUGGAAGGGACCUUUCAGGUCACCUGGCUCAACCCCCUGCCACGAGCAGAGACAUCUUUCACUAGGUCAUGUUGCCCAGAGCCCCAUCCAACCCAGCUUUGAACAAUUCCAGUGAUGGGGCAUCCACAGGGUAGCCGGUUCCAGUGUCUCACCGCACUCACCGUAAAUGUGUGCCCCUGGGUAAUUCAUACUGCUGGGAGUAGAGGGUGGAGAAAAUGAGUGGUGGUGUUUUUUUCUUUCGUUCUGUCACUGGUGAAUGUCUUGAUAUGUGAAUCAAGCUCAAAUCACCAGGUGUUCAUGAGGUCUUCAGCACCCUUCAGCCACUGUCAAGCAUUAGAUCUGAUCAAAGGUUGGGGUUAAGGGGUGCUUUUUUUCCUUCUACCUCUGCCUGGGUAGAAAGGCAUAUUGUUGUGUGCCAGAGGGCGGGACAGCAAAUGUGCACCUUGUGCAGUACCUGUCUGGAUAGGACACCUCAGGGUAUUGUAAUUCAAAGGUUAGCCAUACUGCUUUGCAUAUCUUUCUCACCUCCUGGUAGGACUUGCCAUGGUGUUUCACUAAGGAGCAUCUUUUAUUUCUCUGUGGUCUGUCCUAGUUACACCAUAGUUUGUGAGUGCAUUGGGAGCUGUUGGCUCUAUUGCUUGUGGUCUCCUAACAUUUGAAACUUGCUUUUCCCAGGCUUGCCUUUUACUCUAGCGUUUUGUAUACACAGAGGAGCUCAGACAGGCUAUUCUUUGGGAUCAUGUGUCACCUCAUCAAUGCCAGCUGAUCCAAGCUCCUCAAGACUCACGGGAUACCUAAGGAUGGACAGCGGGAACUUGGUCUCCAAAGGCCACCUCACGUCUUCUGCAUUGGUCCAGCAGAAGCCGGUCCAGCUUUCACAUUUAUAGGCAAACUGUGAAAGCUUACUGAUCUGUCAGGACUUCAAGAAAUCAUGGGGCUAGGAAGUGUGCAUAAAAGAUUUUGUGAAAUCUGGUAUUUAAAUCUCCCGCUCAAGUGAUGAUGAGAAGAGCUGGCAAUGUAAUAUUGGCUUAUCAGCAACCAUGUGGGUAGGUCAGCUAAAGAAAAAUUUUGUGUGAACAGCACCAGAGGUUUAGAAGAGAACCAAGUGUCUUGUCAGGUACAGGGUUAUAAACCUAGUCUAAAUUUAUUUUCCUUAAAAAAAAAAUAUUUAAGUAAUAAAUGACAUUCAUCGUAGUCAGGGGAAGAUGAAGGACAGCUAGGCAAACCAAGCAGGUCUCUGAGUAAAACAGGGACUAGAUACUUUGAAUUAUUUUUCUACCAUUAAUAAUUCUGAACUAAGCACUGCAAAUUAAUGUACUUGUCAUCUCUGCUUUCAUGAAUUCAAAUAAUUUGGUUUGCGGAUAGGUCUUUUGACAAUGCUGUGUUCAGGAGUUCUUUUGAGCUUGCUUAAAAAAAAAAAAAAAAAAAAAAAAGGUGUCUUUCAAGCUUCAUCUGUCAAUAAAAGUCCUGUUAAUUGAGUCCUUGCAGGUCUCUGCAAGGGCAUAUGUAACUUAUUUUGUCCAAUGAAAGUCUCUAAUUGGUGGGUUAAAGUAAUUAAAAAAGAAUCAGUUAGCAGUCACUCUACUUUUAAAGAUGGACUUUAUGUGGUCAUAAAGUAAAAAUCCUUGCUUUGUUAUGGAAAUUAAAGCAUAUCAGUUUAAUUGCACUAGGUACAGCACACUGGAGUGCAGAAAGGACACAUUUUAUAAGUGAUUAUCUUGUGAUAAAAUAUUACAUAGUGCAACAAAUGGUGGCACUGUGAGAUCCAGAAAGCAUCUUGAGACCAGAGUUGUUGAGCUAUUGUAGAGGAGAUGGGAUGGAAUCAUUUGCAGGUGGUCAUUGUCUGUCCUCACCUCUGUACUGGCUUCUUCAUCUUUUAUUUUAGGAAAUUUGACUUGUAACUGGACAGGACCAAAGGGGCAAUUUAUAAUUUUGGAGAAGACUUGUUUGAGGAGUUGUUCUCUGCAUGUUGAAGAGCUGCCUUCAGAAGUUGGGGAGAUGGCUUUGGAAGGUUUGAAUGGCAGAGGAUUUAAUGGUGGGAAAUACGGGCUCAGCUCCUGAUGAUUAUGUGGUCCAACUGAUGAGUGGAAAAAAACAGAUCCAGGAAGAUAUCAGAGUGCCUGGGGCAGUCCUGGGGCUGUCAUCUUUGAAUAUGAAAGAAGUUGAAAUACUUGAGAAUCCAAAUUUGGUUGUCUGGGAAGAAGACAGCAUAUAGGACAUGGUGGUACCUCUAUCCAAAAGUUUUUAUGUGUACCUGAGAAAAUAAUAGAAAGGGAAUGAUAAAUAGAUGAAUUCUCAUUACUUUGUAGUGUAGGCUGUUUUUCACUUCAGCUGUAGUGGAACUAGACUGAUGGCACAGAAAGUGGACAGGGUUUUGGGAGGACCGAUUAAACUAGCGCUGAUGGAAGGCUGAGGCUCUUGGCGGCUGAGGUGAGGUGCUGAGCAGGAACACCAGUAACGUGUGACCAUUUCAACUGGAGGGCAGGGGGUGAGUUUCAGUGCACACAUGGUAUGAGGAACUCGAGAGCAGAGCUGUGUAGGCUGGAAGAGCAACCAGAUGUUGGACUGAAAAUUUGAAAGAGAAAUAGGCAUGUGGUCAAAACAAGGAAGAAGUCUGUAUACCAGUGUGGAAACGUGAAAUAAAAAUAGUCAUAGUAGACUGCCUGGCAGUUUUAAAAGACCCUGAUAUAGCUAGCUUAAUUGUAAUGUGGUGGGGGGAUGAUAAUGAAAAUCAGUAAAUACUGUACUACCUGCCAUCAAACUAUACAGGAUAGGCAUGCUUGGUCAUAAAAUUGUGUAAGAGCACUAGAUUUAAAAGUUCCCAUAAAGUCUGAGAGAAAAUUGGAAUAGUGAUGACCACACAGUCAAAUCUGUGUUGGAGAUAAAUCCCCCAUUUUAAUGAAAUAGGGGUAUUCAGACAUUUUCUAUUCCAGACAAGAAAAAGGUUAUGGAUUUCAUGGGUCUUCAGGGAAAACCAGGUUCAUACAUCUUCAUAAACCUGUUGGAAAAAGUAAAUUCAUUUAUGUCCAUGCUAUCUGGCCAGAUCUUGGAAGGAGCUGGCUAACAUUUUGGUGAACAAACAUUUUGAUUUACUUAAAGUAUCAUUUAUUGUAACAGCCUGUUGUAGAGUUAGCCUUGAUUUAGGACUAAAAUGCAAGAACAGGUUCAAGAUAUAAUUACAGCUGAGUCAUUAAAUAGCAGUGACCACAGUACAAUUACAGGUUCAGCAUCCUCAGGGGUGGAAGAUUCUUUACUAAAAAUGAGUCUUGUGUUAUAAAACAUUGCAGAGAAUAUCAGAAAAGUAAAAUUCUUAGUUACACAGACUUGUCAUGAAGGAGCUUCGGAAGUGUAAAGCAAUCCAGUAAAAUAGUUACACAGGAAGGGACUUCUGGAGCCCAGCAACGCUCUUUAAAGGAAAGAGGUCCAACUCUAACAAAGUGGACUGAAAGAGCCAUGUAAUAUUUCAUAGUGGGUAAUUUGUGAUCUGGAAAUUAAACAGUGUAGGAGGGGCUUUGAAGAACUGGAAGCCUUAGGGAACAAAUGUUAUUUUAAGUCUAUCAGAGAGAAGGCUGGGGAGAAAACUGGAGCAUGCAGGACUUCACACUGGUAAUUUUCUGCACUACUUCAUAUUACUUAAGUGACCUCUCAGCUUUGUUCUGGAGCACAGGGCAUAUUGGAGAGCCCAGCUAUCUGUAAUCUGGUCCUUUUGGGUGAGCCUCUCUCUGAAACUCAAUCAUUUGAGGCAAAGAUUAUGGAGCAAACUAAGUGUAAGUGGAGGAGCAACAAGUGUACCUGUACAGAAGUUUUAAAAGACCCGGAGUCUGAGACACUAAAGUUACUAGCAAAAAUAGGGACUGUUGAAAAAAAUAGCUUGGUAUUUUCCAUAAUUAGAUAACAGAUUAUUAUUAUUUUUAAUUAAAAUGUUAAGCAGGGCACUGGGAAUUGCAUAUCUGCAGUUUGAGAAGGGGUAGCUGAACUAGUAUCACACUUUGUGUGUGAUAAGUUGAAAGCAACGUACUUUCUGCAAGGAAAGAUCUUUGAACACAUUGGCAAACAUCAGGAGGCAGAGGAUCAUCUGAUUUUUAUUUGGAUGUUUUAAAAGUUUUUGGUUGAGUCCUCUCAAUAAGGUAUUAAAAAUUAUGUUUGGAACAAGAAGAGAAAUAUCAUGGAUGCCUUCUUUUCCUACAACUGAUGCUGAUCACUUGGACAGUACAAGGUAGAAAGAAGUCUAGUUUGAGAUGGACACUGAAGGUUUCCUGGGCUUGGAGGCGGGUCUACUUCUUGAGUAGGUCUGCAGCCUUUGAGCAAGCAGGUUUCCUCUGGAAAAUGCCAAUUCACCAAAAACAAUGUUGCAGGGUAGAGAAGGGUAGGUUUUCCUCUGGACUUUUCUGGUGAGCACAUCUAGGUAGAAGUCUGGUUGGCCAAAGAAGAGACACAAGCGCAGAAUACUUAGCAGCAUGACAUCUAGAUUCUACCCCAGUGAAGGCCCCAGUUUAAAUCUACCCUGAGCUCAGUUUGCAGGCCUGCCACAUCCCAUAGCAUGCCUCAGCAACGAACAGGGCUGGAUGCAUUCAGUUUUAUUUUGUUUUUAACAACAACAAAAAACUAAUAUGUGUCGAUUUUGACAAUGGGCAGAAAGGCUAGGUGAGGGGAGACAGGUCUACAGGUCUCAUCUAGCUCCAUGCUUGAGGUUGUCCGUGUUACGUAUGCAUGUGUGAGUCCUAUGCUGUCUCACUCCCAAGGGACCCAGGAGGAACUGUAAUGAGCUGGUGUGGGCUAGAGCAACCCUUUGCUGCUCCACCUUAGUUUAAGGCUUCUUAAAUGUCUAAAGGUCACAGUGAAUCCUCUUGCUUUUACUGCCUUCCCUGUCUUCAGUAAGUCAUGGCAAGUGCUGUGCUAAGUCAAUGGGUGUUGUGAUAGGAGCCAGUUAACAGCAGGCUUACCUCCAGGCCUUCUGUUAAAAGUACUAUUUAAAGGUAUGAAUUGGUGAUGGAAAGCAUGGAGAGGUUGGUUCAUACCAGUGAAGUGGCUGGCACUGCAACUGGACGACGGCAGGGAGAGCUCAGAGGGACAUGCCUGCACCAAAGCUGGGUGCAAGCAGUAUGCGGCAGCGGGGACUGCCCUCUGCAAUGCAAGGCAAUAGACAGAGGAAAAAAAAAUAAUGCUCCAACAAUAUUGUUGGGCUUUAAAUGAUUUGCUCAUUUGGGAAGAAGAGUGUCUUUCCCUUAGCAUCUGAUUUUGGGUAGCAAAAGUAAAUGAACCAAAGGUGCAUAAAGUGCCAUAGAAAAUAACUAUGUUUUACAGACUUACGUGCUAAGAUCUUAGAGGCUGCUGUGUUUGAACUCGUAGGUAAAACAGUUUGUUAGAUUUCCAAGAUGUUCCUCAGCUGUUUUCCCUUGGUAAGCUGGCAGUUGUCACUGACACAACCUUUGUUCCCCUCCGCUAGAAAUACCAGUUUCAUUGUAUUGCUCAAUUCUAGUGAAAUGCUAUCAGCUGACUUUGAAGUACACAGUAUAAAAAUGUUGUAGUAUGCUUGCAUGAUAGCUAUUUGAUGUAAGAAAAUGCAAAAUCUCUCGUGCUCUCUUUUUAGGAAUUUGGGCUUUGAGUUUCAUUGGGGAGUGCUGUAUGUACCCAACUGCAUGGGAUUAGGCCCACCUUUUAAAAAAUGUAUUUCACAUCUGAGAUUAGAAAUGUUCCAGAAGACAAAUCACAAGAAAAAAUUGUCUGUUCCAUGCUCAGAUGGUAUUAGUGACUUGUACUAAAGGCUGUCCAUCCACACAGAAAACUGCACGGCUGCUUCUGUUUUAACUGCUGUCAAAGGUCUAGUGUUUUGGUAGUAGUAUUUUUUCUAAAUGUACUGAAUAUACUUGCCUUUAAAUCCUUCUAGGUACAGAUAAUUAUCAUUGGUAUUCUAUAAAUUAGCUCUAUACUAGCAUUCACAUUGGACUAGGCGUAAUAUUCUAGGCCAAAUAUUUUCAAGUCAAAGAGGACUUGAAAAAGGAAAACAAACUUAUAACCUUUCAUGUGGUUCUGCCCCACAUAGCGGUGGGCUGGUUUAUUUGUGGAAGUAUCAGCAGUGCUACAUUGGUCUUCCCUGUUUUACUUUCUGUGAUUCUCUGCAGGAGAGCCCAAAUGGGUAGACUGGAAGCCCACUCUGCUUUUAGUUGGAAGUUUUUAACUGCAAGAUACAGAUUUAUAUUUUUCCGUCCUUUGGAGACACUGAGAUAUUGUCAUGAUGAGGUCCAUGGAAAUACUUAGAUAAACUAGGCCAUAACAAAGAUAAUGCACCUUUUCCAUUUUUUUUUUUAUUUUGCUGUCAAUCAGUUAUCUGAGCUUUUUUCAAUGUAAAAUGUUAAACUGUUUGAAAAAUCACUCAUCUGUUGGAUACUACUCCUUCCUAUACCAUAAAUCCAGCUAGGCCUGAUUAUUUGUAGUCUUCCAGAAAAGGUAGACAGGAUAUCAAUUCCCAGAAUCAAAAACUGUCCACAGUGAGGGAAGGAAACCCUUAUUGUAAAAGCAGCACCCCCUGGGCCCACCUUGGGCACUCUGGGUUACCCGUACCCCCGCUCCUCUGUUCGGGGUGACCUCUCGGUGCAGCGCAGGGCUGGGUGAGGUGGAGGCCGGCCGAGCUGUUUGUUGCAGGGUGGGACAGAGGUCCUGUCCCACAGCAGUGCCCUGCUCAUGCAGAAAGCUCACCGUGCUGGGGCUGGGCUAUCGGGCGGCUUCUGGCAGGCUCUGUGCUCCAGGCACGGGCAGGCCCAGGGCUACCGCACUGCCUCACGCCAGGCCUGCACCAGCGCUGCGCCUAGCAUACAUCCGACCUUUCGGUCCCAGGGAAGGUAAAUCAGGACUUUUUCGGGUCAAGAAAAUACAACAAAAGUGGCACCAAGUCUCUGGAGAGUGGUGUUUCCCUGUGGUAGUGACAGCCGCUCACACCUGCUUCUUUUCAACCAUGACCCAUGGUUCAGUUCUGCUGGGUUUUUAGCCAUCUUGACCUCAUGUUUGCAAAUAUUAUUGGUAAUAUAAUGCUAUAUGUACAAUUGUCUGUGUGGCUCAUGUAUGUUUCUGUGGUUCAAAUCAGCCACAGAAUUCUGGAAUUUCAUUGUACUUUGGUUAAAUGUUGGACUUUUAACUCUUCUGUAUGACUUCUUGAUUUCUCUUGUCCAAUGUGGACCAACUCUAUUUUUGGAAAUAAAUAAGCAUGUAAAUAAAAUGAAUGGGUUUAUGCCACUUACAAGAAAAUGCUUUAUUUGAAAUAUACACUCAGCCUUGUAUAUUUUAUGGUAUCUCAGGGAACGGAUGACCUGUGAAAGAUUAGGGGCUGAGGUGAAAGCAGCCUUCGUGGUGAGAUACCAUAUUAUGUACAAAUUCAUUUCCAAGUGGUUUUAGUCUCCCGAGCUGCCAAACACUGUAGGGCUGUGGGGUGAACAGCAGUCUCAUGGAGGAGGGGGGAAGUCCAGAAAGCGGCACGUAGUUUGAGAGGAGUAAAGAAAAGAGACCUGGCUUUGCGGUACACACACGGCUUCUGGUUUGAGGUGUCCAUGUCAACAGUCGCCACCAAGUGCAGGGGGUCCAGGGCCAGCUCUUGGCCUCUGCCCGCAACACAGUCCCAUGGCACAUCCCAGUGGCGCCGGGCGCGUGGAGAGCAGGAGCACAAUGACGUUUUUUUCUUCUCCAUAUAAACCAAUAUUUACCAGUAAUCCUGUGUUUCUGUUUUUGUUUUUUGGCAGACUUUUACCAGUAAAUAUCGGUUUAUUCCUGAAACCAGAAGCCCUAAACAUACCUUUGUUUAUAAGUUUUCCUGCUCUGCAACUCUGGAAAUGGAGCCCACAAGACCUAGAACCUUCGCUUGCCUGUGUGGUUCUGAUUGCUGGCAGUUCUGUAAUACAACUUUAAUCUGAGCAGUUGAGGCUGGUCCCACCUUAUCUUCAGACGUCUUGCGGAGGACUCCUGUUACCAGUUUGGUACUCAAAAGCUACACCCCACCAUGAGAAGUCACUUAUUUUUUAAAAGGCAGUGAUAGAUUACCCUCUCUAGCUCUAAUGGGAAAAUUAUAUUGCAAUGCAACUUUAUAAUAAAUUGUUCAUAUAUUCAUAAUUCUGUGGCAAUCCCAAAUUGGAGAACAGAUCUGUUAAAGGUAUAUAUUAGUCUAGAUUUUUUCUUAUUGUAAAUACUGUAAUUUUAUAAUACUGUCAAUAUUUUAUUAACUUAGAAAUAUUUAACAGAGUUUAAUCUAUGGUAGUUGAUUUAUUUAUAGGUUUAUGUUGCAGCCAAUAUUGAAUUGCAUUCUAAUGUAAGAUUAACUUUAAGUAUGUAUACGUUGAUUUAAUAUAUCAUUGGAAAGAUUAAGAAUAGAGAAAAUUCUCACUCUUUAUCUGUAAUAUUUAUCCCUGAUUCCUGGCUCAGAAUUCUUUAAUGAAAUAUUACAAGCUUUCAAAAGCUCAUGAAGAUAACAACUGAAGUUGGAUCAUGUAAUUUGAAAACUUGAAUUUUGAAAUGUACCUGGCUUUUUCGCCCUGUUUGUAGUGAACACAAUUGCUUCAAUAUCUAAUCUAUAUAGUACAGAAGUCUUUAUUUUGAGCAAAGGGACACUCUCAGAUCAAUUUUUGCUUCUUGUUUCAUGAAGAAGAAGAAAAAAAAAAAAAAAAAAAAAAAAAGCAAAACUCACCCAGUGCUUGUGUGUUAAUUCCUUCUUAAUCACAAGGUAAAAUUCCUUUUUUUGUUGGAUUAUUUGGCUCAAAGCAUUCCCAGAGCACCUGCAUCCCGGAGCCAUGCGGCCCGGCAUGGAGAUGCAGGCAGCCAGCAGGACCCUGCCCCAGCACGCAGGGGUCCCUCCAGCCCAGGUGGAGGCUUGGUGCCAUCCUUGCCACAUGCACAGCAGUGCAGCCGGGGCCUUGCAGUGGACAGGUUUGGUCUCCGGCACUGGUUAUAAUCUUAGCUUGGCAAGGUGGGUAAAAGUGCACUAAGUGUCUAAACCUUGCCCUUUUUCAAUCAAAGUUUCUCUUCGCAUUUUUUUUUCCCAUGUAUAUAUAUUUUAGCCUGAUAGUGUCCCUUUGUCUGUAUAAAGAUGUUCACAUUCUCUGAAAAAUAAGUACAAGUUAUUUUCUUUUUAAGACAGGGGGGAAUUCAUCUGUAAUAUGUUUGCAACAUAACAUGCAUAAAGAUACCAAAAAUAUAUCAAGGGUUUCAUGGGAGGUUUUUGUUUGUUUGUUUGUUGUUUGUUUGUUUGUUUUUGAGUAUAAAAGUUAAUCUUUAUUAGAGAUGUGCCAAUCUAUACUGCUUUAUUGUAGUGUUGUUAUAUUUAGGCAUUUCAGUUAACUUACAAAUAUAUACUGUAACAGUAUACUUUGUACAGAUUUAUUUAAAAAUUAUUUGAAAACUGAAAUAAAUUAGGCAGAAAAUAAAGAUAUUUAUUUUUCAUUUGACUAUGUAAGAAGGUAUCAUUUUUUUGAUUUUAGUGCACUGGUGUACCAAGCCUCAGAACCACUGCUUUCUUCAGUUCAUAGGAUGCUUUUCAGAGACUGUGGAUAUGUGUAUGUGUACUGUUAUAUUUACAAGUAAAUGCCAACAAUGGAGUUCAUUGCUUUUAUACAUCCCAAAGAGAAGUUCUCCACCGUUUAUUUUCUGUUUUCUGACCGAAAAGGCAUGUGCUUUUGAACAGUGUCGUUGAAAGUUCUGCCAUCCCACUUUCACAUCAGCUUAUGCCAAUACCAGGAUGGGAGGAUUUGCCUGCGUACCUUUCCUAAUACACCACAUUCACCAGUGGCAUCGGCAGGGAGCAGUUCAAACGUGUGUCCUUUGGGUUUUAUGUAAAGCAAAUGCAGAACAAGAAAAAUCAAGAUGUUAAAUUCAUUAGAAAACAAAUUCCUUAUUGUACAGUAGUAUGGAAAUCUCUAGUCAACAUGCCAUUAAUAAUAGAUUCUUAUUUUUGAAUGAUCUAUUUAAAAGAACAGCAAGCAUUGUAUUUGCUAGUAAAUCUGAAGUGUUUACAUGGAACUACUAAAUAAAUUAUUUGAUCUAA